GCCUGAUCAGCCAUGCCGCGUGUCUGAAGAAGGCCUUCGGGUUGUAAAGGACUUUUGUCAGGGAGGAAAUCCCUAAGGUUAAUACCCUUGGGGGAUGACAGUACCUGAAGAAUAAGCACCGGCUAACUACGUGCCAGCAGCCGCGGUAAUACGUAGGGUGCAAGCGUUAAUCGGAAUUACUGGGCGUAAAGCGUGCGCAGGCGGUUGUGUAAGUCUGAUGUGAAAGCCCCGGGCUCAACCUGGGAACUGCAUUGGAGACUGCACGGCUAGAGUGCGUCAGAGGGGGGUAGAAUUCCGCGUGUAGCAGUGAAAUGCGUAGAGAUGCGGAGGAAUACCGAUGGCGAAGGCAGCCCCCUGGGAUGACACUGACGCUCAUGCACGAAAGCGUGGGGAGCAAACAGGAUUAGAUACCCUGGUAGUCCACGCCCUAAACGAUGUCAACUAGCUGUUGGGGGUUUGAAUCCUUGGUAGCGUAGCUAACGCGAGAAGUUGACCGCCUGGGGAGUACGGCCGCAAGGUUAAAACUCAAAGGAAUUGACGGGGACCCGCACAAGCGGUGGAUGAUGUGGAUUAAUUCGAUGCAACGCGAAAAACCUUACCUGGUCUUGACAUGUACAGAACUUUCCAGAGAUGGA
This 635-nucleotide ribosomal RNA is filed under the name Aquitalea sp. Se1Pt_284. RNAcentral describes it as "bacterial SSU rRNA". It matches the Rfam family "Bacterial small subunit ribosomal RNA", at positions 381 to 1010 of the family's 1533-position model. The record is from RNAcentral. Lineage: Bacteria; Pseudomonadati; Pseudomonadota; Betaproteobacteria; Neisseriales; Chromobacteriaceae.